GCUCCGGUAGUGUAGUCCGGCCAAAUUCAGCCAGAACUGGAGGUCAUUCAUGCAGGACUCUCACUCCUGCGACUGGGGUUCAAAUCCCCACCGGAGCA
RNAcentral lists this transfer RNA (98 nucleotides) under Methanocellales archaeon. RNAcentral's name for it is "tRNA-Glu". It matches the Rfam family "tRNA". Rfam says of the family: Transfer RNA (tRNA) molecules are approximately 80 nucleotides in length. Their secondary structure includes four short double-helical elements and three loops (D, anti-codon, and T loops). Further hydrogen bonds mediate the characteristic L-shaped molecular structure. tRNAs have two regions of fundamental functional importance: the anti-codon, which is responsible for specific mRNA codon recognition, and the 3' end, to which the tRNAs corresponding amino acid is attached (by aminoacyl-tRNA synthetases). tRNAs cope with the degeneracy of the genetic code in two manners: having more than one tRNA (with a specific anti-codon) for a particular amino acid; and 'wobble' base-pairing, i.e. permitting non-standard base-pairing at the 3rd anti-codon position. The record is from RNAcentral. RNAcentral also lists the same sequence under 1 other name. Lineage: Archaea; Methanobacteriati; Methanobacteriota; Methanomicrobia; Methanocellales.